AAUAGAUACCCUGGUAGUCCACGCCCUAAACUAUGUCGACUGGUUGUUGGGGGAGCCUGUCCCUCAGUAACGUAGCUAACGCGUGAAGUCGACCGCCUGGGGAGUACGGUCGCAAGAUUAAAACUCAAAGGAAUUGACGGGGACCCGCACAAGCGGUGGAUUAUGUGGAUUAAUUCAAUGCAACGCGAAGAACCUUACCUACCCUUGACAUGCCAGGAACCUCGCAGAGAUGUGAGGGUGCCCGAAAGGGAACCUGGACACAGGUGCUGCAUGGCUGUCGUCAGCUCGUGUCGUGAGAUGUUGGGUUAAGUCCCGCAACGAGCGCAACCCUUGCCAUUAGUUGCUACAUUCAGUUGGGCACUCUAAUGGGACUGCCGGUGACAAACCGGAGGAAGGUGGGGAUGACGUCAAGUCCUCAUGGCCCUUAUGGGUAGGGCUUCACACGUAAUACAAUGGCGCAUACAGAGGGCUGCAAACCCGCGAGGGGGAGCCAAUCCCAAAAAAGUGCGUCGUAGUCCGGAUUGUUCUCUGCAA
Molecule: ribosomal RNA, 534 nt
Filed under: uncultured bacterium
Lineage: Bacteria
Description: bacterial SSU rRNA
Rfam family: Bacterial small subunit ribosomal RNA
Source: RNAcentral